This 253-nucleotide ribosomal RNA is filed under the name uncultured bacterium. RNAcentral describes it as "partial 16S ribosomal RNA". It matches the Rfam family "Bacterial small subunit ribosomal RNA", at positions 524 to 776 of the family's 1533-position model. The record is from RNAcentral.
UACGGGGGGAGCAAGCGUUGUUCGGAUUUACUGGGCGUAAAGGGCGCGUAGGCGGCGCAACAAGUCACUUGUGAAAUCUCCGGGCUUAACCCGGAGCGGCCAAGUGAUACUGUCGUGCUAGAGUGCGGAAGGGGCUACUGGAAUUCUCGGUGUAGCGGUGAAAUGCGUAGAUAUCAAGAGGAACACCUGAGGUGAAGACGGGUUGCUGGGCUGACACUGACGCUGAGGCGCGAAAGCCAGGGGAGCAAACGGG